This 501-nucleotide ribosomal RNA is filed under the name uncultured bacterium. RNAcentral describes it as "bacterial SSU rRNA". It matches the Rfam family "Bacterial small subunit ribosomal RNA", at positions 8 to 507 of the family's 1533-position model. The record is from RNAcentral.
AGAGUUUGAUCAUGGCUCAGGAUUAACGCUAGCGGCAGGCCUAAUACAUGCAAGUCGAACGGGAUUCAAAGUAGCAAUAUUUUGAUGAGAGUGGCGCACGGGUGAGUAACACGUAUGCAAUUUACCUUUAACUGGGGGAUAGCCCUCCGAAAGGAGGAUUAAUACCGCAUAAUAUAUUGAAAUGGCAUCAUUUUAAUAUUAAACCUACGGGGGUUAAAGAUGAGCAUGCAUCCGAUUAGCUAGUUGGUGUGGUAACGGCUCACCAAGGCAACGAUCGUAGGGGUCUGAGAGGAUGAUCCCCCACACUGGUACUGAGACACGGACCAGACUCCUACGGGAGGCAGCAGUAAGGAAUAUUGGACAAUGGAGGCAACUCUGAUCCAGCCAUGCCGCGUGAAGGAUUAAGGCCCUAUGGGUUGUAAACUUCUUUAGACGGGACAAAACCCCUUUACGUGUAAAGGGUUGAUGGUACUGUCAGAAUAAGCAUCGGCUAACUUCGUG